GACUCUAAUGUCAUCAUCCAUCCACUUUUGAUGCAUCUGACGCUGAACAUCAGUAGGACGUGUUGGUAGUGUGGGGCUAUCUGAAUCGAGUAUGUAGCCUAUUUUCUCACAGUCCAAAAUAAUUUUGAGGUUUCUAAGCCAGUCCUUGUAAUUGGUUCCGGUCAGUCGGUUGGUCUCAAGAAUAUGGGUCAAAGGGUUUGAAGCUGACAUUGUAUCUGCAGAGAGUAAAGAUUCUAGUUAGACU
Molecule: long non-coding RNA, 244 nt
Filed under: Phoenix dactylifera (date palm)
Lineage: Eukaryota; Viridiplantae; Streptophyta; Magnoliopsida; Arecales; Arecaceae
Description: long non-coding RNA (PDAC_LNC012763)
Source: RNAcentral